This 253-nucleotide ribosomal RNA is filed under the name uncultured bacterium. Its description in RNAcentral is "partial 16S ribosomal RNA". It matches the Rfam family "Bacterial small subunit ribosomal RNA", at positions 524 to 776 of the family's 1533-position model. The record is from RNAcentral.
UACGAGUGCCCCGAGCGUUAUCCGGAAUUAUUGGGCGUAAAGGGUGUGUAGGUGGUAGUGUUAGUCUUUUGUUAAAUUCUUCGGCUUAACCGGGGGCAUGCAAAGGAAACGGCACAACUAGAGGAUGCGAGAGGUGAAUGGAACUCAUGGAGUAGGGGUGAAAUCCGUUGAUAUCAUGGGGAACACCAAAUGCGAAGGCAAUUCACUGGCGCACUCCUGACACUGAGACACGAAAGCGUAGGUAGCGAAUGGG